Transfer RNA from Stylonychia lemnae, 72 nucleotides. It matches the Rfam family "tRNA". Rfam says of the family: Transfer RNA (tRNA) molecules are approximately 80 nucleotides in length. The record is from Rfam. Lineage: Eukaryota; Ciliophora; Spirotrichea; Sporadotrichida; Oxytrichidae.
GUCCGUGUCGUAUAGUGGUUAGUACCCUUCGUUGUGGCCGAAGAAACCUGGGCUCGAAUCCCAGCACGGACA